UACGGGGGGGGCAAGCGUUGUUCGGAAUUACUGGGCGUAAAGGGCGCGUAGGCGGUUUGCUAAGUUGAAUGUGAAAACUCUGGGCUUAACCCAGAGCCUGCAUUCAAUACUGGCAGGCUAGAGUUCUGGAGGGGAUAGCGGAAUUCCUGGUGUAGCGGUGAAAUGCGUAGAUAUCAGGAGGAACACCUGUGGCGAAAGCGGCUCACUGGACCACAACUGACGCUGAGGCGCGAAAGCUAGGGGAGCAAACAGG
This 253-nucleotide ribosomal RNA is filed under the name uncultured bacterium. Its description in RNAcentral is "partial 16S ribosomal RNA". It matches the Rfam family "Bacterial small subunit ribosomal RNA", at positions 524 to 776 of the family's 1533-position model. The record is from RNAcentral.